GAUGAAGAACGUAGCGAAAUGCGAUAAGUAGUGUGAAUUGCAGAAUUCAGUGAAUCAUCGAAUCUUUGAACGCACAUUGCGCCCUUUGGUAUUCCAAGGGGCAUGCCUGUUCGAGCGUCAUUUGUACCCUCAAGCUUUGCUUGGUGUUGGGCGUCUUGUCUCUAGCUUUGCUGGAGACUCGCCUUAAAGUAAUUGGCAGCCGGCCUACUGGUUUCGGAGCGCAGCACAAGUCGCACUCUCUAUCAGCAAAGGUCUAGCAUCCACUAAGCCUUUUUUUCAACUUUUGACCUCGGAUCAGGUAGGGAUACCCGCUGAACUUAAGCAUAUCAAUAAGCGGAGGA
This 341-nucleotide unclassified non-coding RNA is filed under the name soil metagenome. RNAcentral describes it as "partial contains 5.8S ribosomal RNA, internal transcribed spacer 2, and large subunit ribosomal RNA". The stretch from base 1 to 120 matches the Rfam family "5.8S ribosomal RNA", at positions 35 to 154 of the family's 154-position model. The record is from RNAcentral.